This 253-nucleotide ribosomal RNA is filed under the name uncultured bacterium. Its description in RNAcentral is "partial 16S ribosomal RNA". It matches the Rfam family "Bacterial small subunit ribosomal RNA", at positions 524 to 776 of the family's 1533-position model. The record is from RNAcentral.
UACGUAGGGUGCAAACGUCGCUCGGAAUCAUUGGGCGUAAAGCGCACGUAGGCGGCGCAGCAAGUCGGGUGUGAAAGCCCUCGGCUCAACCGAGGAAGUGCAUUCGAAACUACUGGGCUUGAAUACUGGAGAGGGUCGCGGAAUUCCCGGUGUAGAGGUGAAAUUCGUAGAUAUCGGGAGGAACACCAGCGGCGAAGGCGGCGACCUGGACAGAUAUUGACGCUGAGGUGCGAAAGCGUGGGGAGCAAACAGG